UGAUGAAACUGACAAAGGCGAGAGCGCGCAGCAGCCCACAGCAGCCGAGUUCGCGCCGCCGGUAGGUGCUGCCAUGCCAGGGGGCGGGAUCGUGGAGCGCCUCGCAGAACCGCACGAAAGCAAAAACAAAGCCAUCUCUCCGGAGCAGAAAUAGAACAGACGUGGCCGGGGAAAGCCAAAUAUUUCCUCUCUCCAAUCGCUUUCUCGGAGGGAGUUUUUGCAACCCCCACAACACAGGUUGAUUGGAAAGGUCUCUCUCCCGGAUAACAACAAUUCAAUGUGCCUUGACAUUUUAAUAGCCUGCCGUCCUGGUGAACACAAUCGAGCAAGGCAGUGAAGCAAACAUCAUUAGGUGGCUGGACUCAGACACAUCACGCUCCAGUUUGGGUUCCAAGGUGCUUCUCUCUGGAUUUUCACCUGCCUUGCCAAAAAUGAUUGAUUACGCUGGGCCAACUGGGUGUCCGGCAAUACCCAACAAAUGACUUUGGCCCCUAACAGCAGGUCUUGGCCAGACAGAAAUCAAUAUUUCACCAUUAAAAUCUAUCAAAGAAGAGUUAAGGCACCAUCUGUCCCUGCCGCCUCUCUAUGGUGUGUGAACAUUAAAUCCGACACUUGUACUACAUGGGUAAUCAAUAUAUAGUGGUUCACAGAUCAUUUGUGGUUCCCUUUUAGCAGUGAUGGAUGUCUGGAAUCGUUGUGAUUCAUUUUGUCAGACCAUUAAACAAGAUUCUGUCCAGUU
RNAcentral lists this long non-coding RNA (739 nucleotides) under Homo sapiens (human). RNAcentral describes it as "HSALNT0305367". Lineage: Eukaryota; Metazoa; Chordata; Mammalia; Primates; Hominidae. The record is from RNAcentral.